RNAcentral lists this ribosomal RNA (951 nucleotides) under uncultured bacterium. RNAcentral's name for it is "bacterial SSU rRNA". It matches the Rfam family "Bacterial small subunit ribosomal RNA", at positions 521 to 1482 of the family's 1533-position model. The record is from RNAcentral.
UAAUACGGAGGAUCCAAGCGUUAUCCGGAUUUAUUGGGUUUAAAGGGUGCGUAGGCGGCCUAUUAAGUCAGGGGUGAAAGACGGUAGCUUAACUAUCGCAGUGCCUUUGAUACUGAUGGGCUUGAAUGUACUUGAGGUAGGCGGAAUGUGACAAGUAGCGGUGAAAUGCAUAGAUAUGUCACAGAACACCAAUUGCGAAGGCAGCUUACUAAAGUAUGAUUGACGCUGAGGCACGAAAGCCGUGGGGAUCAAACAGGAUUAGAUACCCUGGUAGUCCACGCCCUAAACGAUGAAUACUCGAUGUUGGCGAUAUACAGUCAGCGUCAAAGCGAAAGCGUUAAGUAUUCCACCUGGGGAGUACGCCCGCAAGGGUGAAACUCAAAGGAAUUGACGGGGGCCCGCACAAGCGGAGGAGCAUGUGGUUUAAUUCGAUGAUACGCGAGGAACCUUACCCGGGCUUGAAAGUUAGUGAAUGAUACAGAGACGUAUCAGUCCUUCGGGACACGAAACUAGGUGCUGCAUGGCUGUCGUCAGCUCGUGCCCGUGAGGUGUUGGGUUAAGUCCCGCAACGAGCGCAACCCCUAUGUUUAGUUGCCAGCACGUAAAGGUGGGGACUCUAAACAGACUGCCUAUGCAAAUAGAGAGGAAGGAGGGGACGACGUCAAGUCAUCAUGGCCCUUACGUCCGGGGCUACACACGUGCUACAAUGGGCAGUACAGAGGGCAGCUACCUGGCAACAGGAUGCCAAUCUCAAAAAGCUGUUCACAGUUCGGAUCGGGGUCUGCAACUCGACCCCGUGAAGUUGGAUUCACUAGUAAUCGCAGAUCAGCAAUGCUGCGGUGAAUACGUUCCCGGGCCUUGUACACACCGCCCGUCAAGCCAUGGAAGCUGGGGGUGCCUGAAGUGCGUAACCGUAAGGAGCGUCCUAGGGUAAAACCGGUAACUGGGGCU